GACGAACGCUGGCGGCGUGCCUAAUACAUGCAAGUAGAACGCUGAAGAGAGGAGCUCGCUCUUCUUGGAUGAGUUGCGAACGGGUGAGUAACGCGUAGGUAACCUGCCUUGUAGCGGGGGAUAACUAUUGGAAACGAUAGCUAAUACCGCAUAACAAUGGAUGACACAUGUCAUUUAUUUGAAAGGGGCAAUUGCUCCACUACAAGAUGGACCUGCGUUGUAUUAGCUAGUAGGUGAGGUAAUGGCUCACCUAGGCGACGAUACAUAGCCGACCUGAGAGGGUGAUCGGCCACACUGGGACUGAGACACGGCCCAGACUCCUACGGGAGGCAGCAGUAGGGAAUCUUCGGCAAUGGGGGCAACCCUGACCGAGCAACGCCGCGUGAGUGAAGAAGGUUUUCGGAUCGUAAAGCUCUGUUGUAAGUCAAGAACGGGUGUGAGAGUGGAAAGUUCACACUGUGACGGUAGCUUACCAGAAAGGGACGGCUAACUACGUG
RNAcentral lists this ribosomal RNA (497 nucleotides) under uncultured bacterium. RNAcentral describes it as "partial 16S ribosomal RNA". It matches the Rfam family "Bacterial small subunit ribosomal RNA", at positions 28 to 507 of the family's 1533-position model. The record is from RNAcentral.